RNAcentral lists this ribosomal RNA (257 nucleotides) under uncultured prokaryote. RNAcentral describes it as "partial 16S ribosomal RNA". It matches the Rfam family "Bacterial small subunit ribosomal RNA", at positions 524 to 776 of the family's 1533-position model. The record is from RNAcentral.
UACAGAGACCUCAAGCGUUAUCCGGAAUCAUUGGGCGUAAAGCGUUCCGAUAGGUUGUUUUGAAAGUUUUGGGUAAAAGCCAGAAGCUCAACUUCUGCGUUUGCUCAAAAUACUGCAAAACUAGAGGGGCAAAGAGGUGCUUGGAACGAACGGUGUAGUAGUGAAAUGCGUUGAUAUCGUUCGGAACACCGAAAGCGAAGGCAGAGCACUGGGUGCCACCUGACACUGCUAGGACGAGAGCGUGGGGAGCGAAUGGG